Molecule: ribosomal RNA, 253 nt
Filed under: uncultured bacterium
Lineage: Bacteria
Description: partial 16S ribosomal RNA
Rfam family: Bacterial small subunit ribosomal RNA
Source: RNAcentral
UACGAGAGGCCCAAACGUUAUUCGGAAUUACUGGGCUUAAAGGGUGCGUAGGCGGCGCAGUAAGUUGGGUGUGAAAUCCCUCGGCUUAACCGAGGAAUUGCGCCCAAAACUACUGUGCUCGAGGGAGAUAGAGGUGAGCGGAACUUAGGGUGGAGCGGUGAAAUGCGUUGAUAUCCUAAGGAACACCGGUGGCGAAAGCGGCUCACUGGAUCUCUUCUGACGCUGAGGCACGAAAGCUAGGGUAGCAAACGGG